AGGAUCUUAGGUUAAAAAAACUUGAAGUUUUCAAUACUUCAUAUAAUAAUUUUUAUUAGAUCUUG
This 65-nucleotide transfer RNA is filed under the name Nectonemertes cf. mirabilis HC-2011. RNAcentral describes it as "tRNA-Trp". Lineage: Eukaryota; Metazoa; Nemertea; Enopla; Monostilifera; Nectonemertidae. The record is from RNAcentral.